This 490-nucleotide ribosomal RNA is filed under the name uncultured bacterium. RNAcentral's name for it is "partial 16S ribosomal RNA". It matches the Rfam family "Bacterial small subunit ribosomal RNA", at positions 30 to 507 of the family's 1533-position model. The record is from RNAcentral.
AUUGAACGCUGGCGGCAGGCUUAACACAUGCAAGUCGAGCGGUAGCACAGGGGAGCUUGCUCCCUGGGUGGCGAGCGGCGGACGGGUGAGUAAUGUCUGUGAAACUGCCUGAUGGAGGGGGAUAACUACUGGAAACGGUAGCUAAUACCGCAUAACGUCGCAAGACCAAAGAGGGGGACCUUCGGGCCUCUUGCCAUCAGAUGUGCCCAGAUGGGAUUAGCUAGUAGGUGGGGUAAUGGCUCACCUAGGCGACGAUCCCUAGCUGGUCUGAGAGGAUGACCAGCCACACUGGAACUGAGACACGGUCCAGACUCCUACGGGAGGCAGCAGUGGGGAAUAUUGCACAAUGGGCGCAAGCCUGAUGCAGCCAUGCCGCGUGUGUGAAGAAGGCCUUCGGGUUGUAAAGCACUUUCAGCGAGGAGGAAGGUGGUGAGCUUAAUACGUUCAUCAAUUGACGUUACUCGCAGAAGAAGCACCGGCUAACUCCGUG